Phrynosoma platyrhinos (Desert horned lizard) is the source of this 72-nucleotide non-coding RNA. NCBI's taxonomy places the organism in Eukaryota, Metazoa, Chordata, Lepidosauria, Squamata, Phrynosomatidae. The record is from the annotation of a GenBank genome assembly.
GCCAGCAUGGCAUAGUGGUUUGAGUGUUGGACUAUAAUACCAGAGACCAGGGUUUGAUUUCCCAUUCAGCCU